RNAcentral lists this small RNA (114 nucleotides) under Marmota monax (woodchuck). The record is from RNAcentral. Lineage: Eukaryota; Metazoa; Chordata; Mammalia; Rodentia; Sciuridae.
GUGGGCUACGGGGACGUGGUGCCCGUGACAGUGGCUGGCAAGCUGGCAGCCUCGGGCUGCAUCCUCGGUGGUAUCCUGGUGGUGGCGCUCCCUAUCACCAUCAUCUUCAACAAG